CAAGCGCCGCGGGUUUCUAAGCGGAGGAAGCUCUGGGCGUUUGCGUUCUGGUCUUGCAGCGGUGGCCGCGCGCUCCCUGAGGAGUCGAACUGGAGGAGGGGACAGUUUAGGAGUGCGAGAGUCUAAAGACGCUGCCAGGAUGAUGUUAUGAAGACUCAGGCUUAAGACUCAGAUUAAAUAUGUGUUGAAAAAAUAAAACAAAUCAACUGAGAAACACACCUGCAGUGAAACAAAGGAUGGGGCCAUACAAAUUCUAUCUCAGGCUCAAUGAAACCUUCAGAAUCUGGUGUCAAUUCCAUCCAUGGUUUAGGGAUUCAAUGAACCCUACUUUAAGGUCAGGAUGCUAGAGGAUCAAAAUACAGGCAUCAGCAAUCUCGGUGUCUUCGGAAAGCUCUGAGCGAGAGUCUCUUCCCUGCCUCUCUCCUGGCUUCUGUGGCUGCUGGCAGCACUUGGUGGUUCUUGGCUUACACCUGUACCACUUCAGUCUCUGCCUCUGUCAUCGCACUGACUCUGCCUGUGUGUCUCUGUAUUCAGAUCUUGGUAGAAACUCCAGAAGUCUUCUAUCAAGAAUUGAGCCAUGAGACACUGCCUUGCAGGAAGCAAAAGGGAAAAUGUGAGCCCGAUAUACAUUUACCAGAAUAUCCUAAAAUAUGUUAAACCCAGUAGAAACGAUCAUGUAAGCUCUGUGAUCAAAAGACAUGACUAUAUAUAAAGCCCCGUGUCUCUCAAUCUGUUCAUACACCACUGUCGACACUCAUAACCCUGCCUAGCUGGGAACACAACAGUCAUGUGGAUCCAGGAACCAAGGGCUGGUUAAAAAUGGUCCUAUUGCAUAAAACAAGGUCAAAAAACUGUUUGCACUGCACCGUAAUGACUACUGUAAAACAAACAACCCGUACUUACUCAAAAUUUUUAAUAUUUUAUUCAUCAUUUUUACAUUAAUUUUGACUUUCUAAAAUAUUGCCUUUAAUUACUGCUUUCUUGAUGAUUCUGUUUUCUGUUACCCUCUGAAAUUUUGUGCCCAAGGUGAGUACCUCACUUGCCUUACUUUAAUCUUAGCCCUACCAUGAGGUAUCAUUGCUUUUAUAUACUGGCACUCACUUAAUUAUAGCUGUGAGUAGCCACAGAUUUCUCAUGUUUGUCUUAUUUAAAAGCCAGAGUGAUGCAGUAGAAAGAAUAUUAAAUUGGAAGUGACAAAACUUGGGUAAUAGUUCCAUCUCUGGAGCUUCUUAGUGAUGUGAACCUGGAAAACCAGACUCAUUUAUCUUUAGCUUUUAUUUGGAAAAUGGAAAUAAGUACAAUGUAACGUGUUAGCUUCAAUGUAUCCUUGUGAGAAUACAAAGAGUUAAUGCACGUGAAAACACUCUGAAAAAGUAGAAUCAUUUUUAAUGCAUAUAAAAAAUGACAUUGAAACCGUGUUUGUUGCUAUUUUUAUAUAAUCUUUGGAAUGUUUUGGAUGAAUAUAUGAGUGAAAGAAAUGCAUUCCAGUUAGAUGACCCAGUUGUUGCUAAUGAAAACAUUUUCUCCUCAUCUCAAUUAUUAUGCCUACAUCCAAAUCCAUGUAUUCCCAAUUCUCCUAAUGUCUUUGUACCAUUGAAAGCUAGUGUUUGGGUGGCAGUAGCAGAGCAGUGAUUUUCAAGUGAGGUUCCCUAACCAGCACAUAAGUAUCACCUGGAUCUUGUUAGAAAUGCAAAUUUUCAGACAACAUCCAAUAAACUCUGGGGCUUGGGCCAACAAAUGUGCAUUUUAACAAGCCCUCCAGGUGAUUUGGAAGCCUGCUGGUGUUGAGAGCCACUAGAUCAAAUGAAAGGAACGGAAGAGCGGAAGAUCAGUCUGCCAAGCGAUUUCUCCAGAACCAGAACUUUUAUUUUGUUGGUAGAAUUCUCAUAAAAUCACCUUUUGCCUUUACCAUUGUAUCAUUAAUUUCUAGGCCACAUCUUUUUUCUUCUAUGUUUUUUUCUUACUGUGUAAUUUAAUGAUCUUUCUCUCUCUUCCCUGCCCCCCGACCCAUAUAGAAAUAGGUGUUACAUAAGAAUCACCUGGAGUGCUUGAGUGAAAAUAAUUAUUACCGACUCCUGCCUAAGGUCAUUAAUUGGCAUGGAAUCUUUAACAGAAACACUCAAACUAAUGACAAUGAAGCCGUUUCCAGACCACAAUUUGAAUUGUGCAGUGAUAUGGUUUGGCUUUGUGUCCCCACCCAAAUCACAUCUUGAAUUGCAAUCCCAUAAUCCCCACGUGUAGUGAGAGGGACCCAGUGGGAGGUAAUUGACUCAUGGGGGUGGUUUCCACCAUGCUCUUCUCCUGAUAGUGAGUGAGUUCUCGUGAGACUGAUGGUUCUAUAAGCACCUGGCAUUUCCCUUCCUGGCACUCAUUCUCCUGCCGCCUUGUGAAGAGGUGCCUUCUGCCAUGAUUGUAAGUUUCCUGAGGCCUCUCCAGCCAUGUGGAACUGUAAGUCAAUUAAACCUGUUUUCUUUAUAAAUUACCCAGUCUCAGGUAUUUCUUCAUAGCAGUAUAAGAACAGACUAAUACAUGCAGCUAUUAAGGUAACGUUUCAAAAAGUCAGAUACAGGUAGAACUUAAUUAGCUGUAAUUCAUUGGUGCUUAAUCAAAUGCUAGUUUUUCUUAAUGUGCUUGCUCCACAAGCAUUGCAAUUCUCAGGGACAAAAUUGACAGGUUAAACUGAAGACUGAACAUAAGCUACUAUAUUUACUUUCUUCCAAAACUUCACUUAGAUGAAAAUAAGUGGAUAACAGAGAUGUACUUCCAUAAAACAAAGUGUGAUCUUGUGACAUAAUCAGCAAUAUAUAUUUGGUCUUCAUCCUGGUUCCUCGCACAGAGUUUCUAACAUCCUUGAAGUUUUCUGACUGAUAGGGGUAUGAGGAAGGUAUUUUGGUAUUCCCAAUAAGCCACUUUUUUUCAUCCCUAUUUAUGAUAAUGAGGUGACUCUUGGUGGGCUCGUUACACAGCUUCAAGAUAUCGGCUAUGAGACUAGAGAUUUGGAAUUUUCAGCCCUAUUUCUGUCUUUCCCCUCUCCUAACCUCUCUGGGGGCAGAGGGGCUAGAGAUUGAAUUAAUCACAAAUGACCAAUGAUUUGAUCAAUCAUGGCUACUGAAUGAAGCUUCUGUUAAAAACCCCUAAACAACGGGGUUCGGAAAGCCUCAAGGUUGGUGAACACAUUCAUAUGCUCAGACUCUGGUGGUGCACUGCAAUUCAUGGAGACAGACCAGGUGCUCCUAUACUUGGGACACUUCUGGACCUCACCAUACUUACCUCUUCAUCUGGCUGUUCAUUUGUAUUCUUUAUAAUAAAUCUGUGAUAGUAAAUAGUGUUUCCUUGAGUUCUUGAGCCAUUCUAGAAAAUUAUCAAAACUGAGCAAGAAGUCACGGGGACCGUGACCCUGCAGCCAAGGGGGGCAGAAAUGUGGUAACCUGGGCACCCACUAUUUGCAACUGGUCUCUGAAGUCAGAGAAGUCUGUGGCCUGAGAUUUUAAUCAUGUGGAGCCCAAUGCUCACUCUGGGUAGUUAGUCAGAAUUUAAUUAAAUUGUAGGACGCUCAGUUGGUGUCAGAUAAUUGAUUGGUGUGAAGAAAAAUACUCCAUACUUUUGGCACCAGAAUUGGUGUUAUAAAAAGACUUCAGAGAAGAAAAUUGAAAAAAAGUGACUGGGUUUUGAAAUAUCAAUUAUAUCUCUUCCUAAGUGGAGUUCAGAACCGUUGAGGGAGAGUGGCAGCAUGGGGGUUAGGUUCCUAACAGGAAAAGACACAUCGGAGGAGAGGUUUUGGUAGUGCAAAUUCAUGAGCUUGCUAACUUUCCUUUGAAUUGUGCUUAGCACCCAGAUUGCUGCCUUCCAGGGUGCAGGGCAGACCCAGCUCCACUACAUUUAACAAGUCACCAAGAGAGCAGCCAGGAGUUCAACAUCUCUGUAGUUAGGAAGUGAAGGCUGAGCCAGCCAUUCUCACCAGAUAAGUCACAUCCUAUUCUGAGGAGAGAUGUGAGGUUAUUUCUAAGAAGGCUGUUGUAACUUGAAUGAAGAGUGUUGAUACCCUAAUGGCAAUAAGCCAACCUGAAGACUAAACCAGGGAUAAGGAGACUGCUGAAAAAACACAUUCCACAGCAAAAUGUUUUGGCCUUUAACCAAUGGCUUUGGCUAUAUAUCUAAACAAAAGUCAUUCAGAAAAUGACUUUGUUCCUCAUGGGAGACAAUUGGUUCUGGGUCAAAACAGUCUUGCUUUUAUCUUUCAUGGGUUAGAUCCAUCACAGACAAUCUUUCUCAGAUAAUGGGUAGAUAAUUAGAUUUUGCUCAGAGAAGGCUCUGAAAUGGGUCAGAAGAGUACUUUGAGUGCAUACAAUGCACAUUAACUCCUAGGCUACUCUAUUAUCAGCCUGAAAUUUUACUCACUGUUCUAUUUCCAUCAUAUUUAGCCAUACUGCUAAUAUCAUCAAAGUAUCAAGGGCAUUCCUUUAAUAAAAGCCAACAACAUUGGGCUGAGUGCAGUAGCUAGUGCCUGUAAUCCCGGUACUUCGGGAGGUCAAGGUGGAGGAUCACUUGAGUCCAGGAGUUGUAGACCAGCCCGAGCAACGUAGUGGGACUCUGUGUCUACAAAAAUAAAAAUUUAAAAAUAGCUCAUUGUGAUGGCACAUGCCUGUAGUCCC
Molecule: non-coding RNA, 4652 nt
Organism: Chlorocebus sabaeus (green monkey)
Lineage: Eukaryota; Metazoa; Chordata; Mammalia; Primates; Cercopithecidae
Source: RefSeq, a predicted model, not a curated record